GGAGUGUGGAGUUUCUAUUUUCUAAGAUGGGGCAGUCUGUGGGAAGAGCCAGGUUGGGGGAUGGGGAAGAGUUAGUUUUGGAUGUGGUAAGUGAGAGGUGUUUAUUAGGUGUCCAAGCAGAGAUGCUGAAUAAACAGCCAAAUAUAUGCUUUUGGAGUUUGGAGAAGGGCUUCAUCCUGGAUAUACACAGUAUAUAUUUGAGAAUCAUCAGUGUAUAGAUGGUAUUUACAGCCACAGAAUUGAAGAGAUCCCCAAGGGAGUGGGUAUAGAUGAAGAAGACAAGAUUCGAAGAGUCUAGCAAAGGACACUGAGAAGGAGCCACUGAUGAGAAAGAAGGGUAACGGAGAAUGUGGUCCCCAGAGGCCGAGGCAAGAAAGUGUUUCUAGGAGGAGGGAUUGGUUGAUUUGUCACUGAUGGGUCAGGUGAGAUAAGGACAGAGGAUUGACCUUGGGUUUAGCCUUCAAUGUUGAGGUCAUUGAUGUGAAAGCAGCCGUGAUAGAAUAGCCAGGUGGAGAGAGAAUGGAAAGAGCAUUUGCAGGUGGACACAUCUACAACUGUCUUGAGGACUUUUAUUUUACUGGCAGUGAGAAAA
This 592-nucleotide long non-coding RNA is filed under the name Homo sapiens (human). Its description in RNAcentral is "HSALNT0205915". Lineage: Eukaryota; Metazoa; Chordata; Mammalia; Primates; Hominidae. The record is from RNAcentral.